Molecule: ribosomal RNA, 492 nt
Filed under: uncultured bacterium
Lineage: Bacteria
Description: partial 16S ribosomal RNA
Rfam family: Bacterial small subunit ribosomal RNA
Source: RNAcentral
AGUGAACGCUGGCGGUAGGCCUAACACAUGCAAGUCGAACGGCAGCACAGUAAGAGCUUGCUCUUACGGGUGGCGAGUGGCGGACGAAUGAGGAAUACAUCGGAAUCUACUUUUUCGUGGGGGAUAACGUAGGGAAACUUACGCUAAUACCGCAUACGACCUACGGGUGAAAGCAGGGGAUCUUCGGACCUUGCGCGAUUGAAUGAGCCGAUGUCGGAUUAGCUAGUUGGCGGGGUAAAGGCCCACCAAGGCGACGAUCCGUAGCUGGUCUGAGAGGAUGAUCAGCCACACUGGAACUGAGACACGGUCCAGACUCCUACGGGAGGCAGCAGUGGGGAAUAUUGGACAAUGGGCGCAAGCCUGAUCCAGCCAUACCGCGUGGGUGAAGAAGGCCUUCGGGUUGUAAAGCCCUUUUGUUGGGAAAGAAAAGCAGCAGGUUAAUACCCCGCUGUUCUGACGGUACCCAAAGAAUAAGCACCGGCUAACUUCGUG